Molecule: transfer RNA, 72 nt
Filed under: Felis catus (domestic cat)
Lineage: Eukaryota; Metazoa; Chordata; Mammalia; Carnivora; Felidae
Rfam family: tRNA
About the family: Transfer RNA (tRNA) molecules are approximately 80 nucleotides in length.
Source: Rfam by way of RNAcentral
ACCAGGCUGGCUCAGUUGUAGAGCAUGAGACUCUUGAUCUCAAGGUGGUGAGUUUGAGCCCUGUGUUGGGUG